GGAAACUGGGAAUUACAAAGAUAGGCUAUGGGUUAUGGUUGAGCAAAAGAAAAGACAAUGGUAGAAAAAGAUUGGUGGUGGUGGGAAUCAAAGUGCGCACUAAAUGAAAUCGCACAAAAUCAGACACAUUUUUGUUUCUGAAAGCCAAAAAAAAAUACAACAAAAUAAGAAAACCAUGCUCUUUGUGGGCCCAUCUCCGCCAUGGC
Molecule: unclassified non-coding RNA, 206 nt
Filed under: Hevea brasiliensis (rubber tree)
Lineage: Eukaryota; Viridiplantae; Streptophyta; Magnoliopsida; Malpighiales; Euphorbiaceae
Source: RNAcentral